UCCUACGGGGGGCAGCAGUGGGGAAUAUUGCGCAAUGGGGGAAACCCUGACGCAGCAACGCCGCGUGAAGGAUGAAGGUUUUCGGAUUGUAAACUUCUUUGACAGGGGACGAAGAAUGACGGUACCCUGAAAACAAGCCACGGCUAACUACGUGCCAGCAGCCGCGGUAAUACGUAGGUGGCGAGCGUUGUCCGGAAUUACUGGGUGUAAAGGGCGUGUAGGCGGGGAAGCAAGUCAGAUGUGAAAUCCCGGAGCUUAACUCCGGAGCUGCAUCUGAAACUGCAUCUCUUGAGUGCUGGAGAGGAAAGCGGAAUUCCCAGUGUAGCGGUGAAAUGCGUAGAUAUUGGGAGGAACACCAGUGGCGAAGGCGGCUUUCUGGACAGUAACUGACGCUGAGGCGCGAAAGCGUGGGGAGCAAACAGGAUUAGAUACCCCCGUAGUCCG
This 444-nucleotide ribosomal RNA is filed under the name uncultured bacterium. RNAcentral describes it as "bacterial SSU rRNA". It matches the Rfam family "Bacterial small subunit ribosomal RNA", at positions 337 to 797 of the family's 1533-position model. The record is from RNAcentral.